This 843-nucleotide long non-coding RNA is filed under the name Equus caballus (horse). Its description in RNAcentral is "lncRNA (ENSECAG00000052206.1)". Lineage: Eukaryota; Metazoa; Chordata; Mammalia; Perissodactyla; Equidae. The record is from RNAcentral.
CAAAAAUCUAAGAACUCACAUGGAUCGUUACCAUGUCCACAUUUGAAUGAGCCGCUUACAAAGGUGCAAAUGAUUUAGAGUGACUCAUUGGCAUGGUUCCACCUUAACCAGUGCUUGAGAAAACUCCUGAAGACGGUUUUUUGACUUGACUGCAUCCAAGUUGGUUAUACUAGUUGGAAAUGAAUGGCGCCAGAUGGCAGAGCCACAGGUAAGAGUCCUAACCCCUAAGUCUCUGCUUGGAGCACAGGUGCCAGGAGAGCUGCCUGACCCUAACUGGACUGUGACAUGAGAGAGAAGUAAACUUUUAUCCUGGUAAGCCACUGAAAUUUGGGAGUUCUUGUUACAGCAGCAAGCAUUGCUUUUCCUGACUUAUACAUCCUUUUCAUCUCAGGUCCUGCCAUCAUCCUAGGUGAUUUCUGAGUGCACAUGGAUGACCCUUCAAAAGCCUGAGCCUUACAGUUCCUCUUAACCUCAUGAACCUUCAUAACCUCAUUUCCUUUAUUGGCGUUGACGACAGUCCUAGAGCUUUUCAUUCCCUAGAGUGUCUACUCCUCAACAAUUAUAAAUUUCAACAGCCACUCUCAUCCACAACUUCCUUUCCCUGCAGUGCGGCCACUUCCUUGUUCUUCAAGCCCCUCGAGAUCUUACUUACUUUUCUCUUGUACCUUCCUGCCUUCACUUCCUUCCCUUCCAAUCUGUAUUCGUCGACUUGGGCUGCUGUAACAAAACACCAUAGACCAGGUAGCUUAAACAACAGAAAUCUAUUUUCUCACAGUUUUGAUGGCUAGAGAUCAAAGAUCAAGGUUUUGGCCAAUUUGGUUUCUAGGGAGAGCUCUCUUUCUG